CAAUCUUAAAAUCCUAAAUCUUCUUACUCCACAAGCUUGAAAUUUUGGCAACUCCAGGAAAUUCAGUGAAACUCUCAAGGUGCUGAAGAUUACCGAAAAAGGAUUGUCAUCAGAGCCAUCACACAGGUAGUCAUUGUCCCUGAUGCUCCCCUGACUGGAAUUGCUCCUGAUGAAAUGCAAGCUCAUCCACCCUGUGUGACUAAAGGUAUUAAAAGCUAUGAAGAAUAUGGACAGGUGGCCUAUGAAAACAACUUGAAAGUAGCUAAUGAAGAUACUCAGAGGCCAGUUGAGCUGAAAGUCUUCCCAAGAAAACAGCCCUAUAUUCCAAAUGCUUUAGCUAUAUCCUCUAUCACCAAGAUGACCAAGGACAUGAACCAAAUGCAACAUACACAAAAACAAAUAAGCAAUGAAGUUUAUGAGAAAAGAAGGUUGAAGAACAAUACACCUUUUCUACCACAGCAAUGCUAUUCUGCAGGGUGGGAUGCGUUCCUCUGGAAGGAUACAGCCAGAAUUGCCCCUCGUUGCCUCAGAAAGUUUUGGAAUUGGAAGUGUGGGGGCGUUUAGGCCCUGAGGAAGUCUGGGUGGUGGGCCACGUCCCCACGCCUCAGCUGACCCUAACGAAAAUGGGGAGCAGUCCACCCUUCCCCUUCCUCUACCUUUCCUGGAGCAGAAGGGAGGAGAGAACUCGCAGCUCUGAAAAGGACCAGAGAUAGGAAUAUUUUCCUGAAAACCGUAACUUACCUUCAUUUAGAAAACGUUGCUGAUUCCUGAGUAUCUCACAGAUUCCAGUUCCUAUGGGAAAGCAGGACUCUUACCAAAAGAAGGAAAACAUAUUAGCUGAACAGUGACUGGAGAGAUGAGGAUGAAUUUCUCUAGAAACAGAUUUCAUGGGCUUGCUGCUUAUACCCAGAGAUCAGUGCUGUGCAGCUUGGGGGGUGGGGUGUCAUUUACAUGAUAUUCUGUGGCGCCUGAAGAAUUUUCAGUGACAUAGAAUGUGAUGUGAAUGGGUUACCUGCAUUUUUAUACCCUCAAGCCCACACUCCAAACCUAACGUCAGGGCGAAUAAAAUGCAUGAAUUGACUGGUACCUUGAUGUGGCUUGGGUAUGGGAACCCCAGAUCCCAGCUUCAGGCACUGUGAAUUUCUCUGGUACCAGGUGCUGCCUAAGGGAAUCAGCUUUCUUGAG
Molecule: long non-coding RNA, 1185 nt
Filed under: Equus caballus (horse)
Lineage: Eukaryota; Metazoa; Chordata; Mammalia; Perissodactyla; Equidae
Description: lncRNA (ENSECAG00000040848.2)
Source: RNAcentral